UGAAUCUGAUGACAGCAAGUCAAAGAAAAAAAGAGAUGCUGCUGACAAACCUAGAGGUUUUGCUAGAGGUCUUGAUCCUGAACGAAUAAUUGGCGCCACAGAUAGUAGUGGAGAAUUGAUGUUUCUCAUGAAAUGGAAAGAUUCAGAUGAGGCUGACUUGGUGCUGGCAAAAGAGGCAA
This is a long non-coding RNA of Octodon degus (degu), 179 nucleotides long. RefSeq lists it as uncharacterized. The transcript has 3 exons. The record is from RefSeq and is a predicted model, not a curated record. Lineage: Eukaryota; Metazoa; Chordata; Mammalia; Rodentia; Octodontidae.